GGCAAUACAAUGUUAUCUGGAAACCCAAGGUUGAGAAAGGUUGGGUUGGAGUGUUGGACUAGGAUCUGGGAGACCAAGGUUCAAAUCCCCACUCAGCCAAUCAAGCUCCUUGGGUGACCUUCGGCCAAUCACUGGCUCACAGCCUAACCUACCUACCUCACAUGGUUGUUGUGGGGAUUAAAUGAAGAGGGGAAGAACCAUGUAUGCCCUGAGCUCCUUUAAGAACAAGGUGGCCUGUAAAUUCAACAAACAAAAAAAUAUUCCCCCAGAAGUGAAUCCAGACCUUUGGGAAAGGUCCCCUGCCCCCCUGGCCAACAAUACUGCAAGGAUAUUUCUUGUUAGGGACAUCCAACAUAAUUCUGAUUAGCCUUCCUGGUAUGCUUUGUCUGGAGUUCAGUUUAUUGGUCUUCUCUGACAAAGGAGUCCAGAGCUUUUCUUAAUGUAACUCAGGGCGUUGUAAUUUGUGUCACAUCCUUUGUAGAUAAAGCUGAAUUUCGAAACAAACACUUUAAAUAAUUACAUUCAUAUUUUUUAUUGCAUUUAUUGCCGUGAUUUGGAUCACUGUAAUUUGAAAUAAUGUGCCUUUUUUCACAGCAAGCAGGAAUGCAGGCAAUAAUUUACGUUGAUUAAUAUAUUAGUGUCACCUCUAGCUGGGGGUGUCUGUUGGUAGCAAGACACCAGUUUAACAAAUGUAGUGGCUGGUGAAGUUGCGCUAUAUUUGAGAGCAAAAUGUCUCCACAUUUGGCCAAAGUGAGAUGAAAUCACGCCUCUGCCCUUUUCCCUCUUGGGAAGUGGUCUGUCAUGGACAGCUUAUCGGGGGUCAGAAAAUAGGCAUGGAAAGUCCCCUGAAGUCAACCCUCUAUGGAAGUCAGCUUGGAAUCUGAUUGAGACAGUUGUGGGAGGUCAUGACUUUAAGGCUUGGAUCAGAUCCUUUGCAAAGGACCUUCUUCGUGAGAGAUUUUCCUAGGAAUAGCUUGCCAUGUUCCUUCACUUCUUGCUCAAAGAUAAAGAGAUGUGAAGUCACCGAGCUCAAAGAAAAUAGGCAAUCGCUAGCAGACAAAAGAAAAUACUUCAUCAUACCAAAUGCAAUUAACUGAGAGGAUUCACUAUCACAGCACAGGGCAGUGGCAAUGACUGAUAAUAACAAAAUACAAUGCAGUUUAAACCACAUUGUACCCCCUUGAAGUCGAGCAAUAGUACAUGACAAGUCAGCAGUAGAGCAGUCAAUAAAGCGAACACAAGGAAUAUAAGGAGCCAUCCCGAUAUCAGAGUAGUGAGAGAAUCCAGGGUUUCCAGGCUUGGUUUUCUUGGAAUGAAAGUCGGUGGAAAUUGUGGUGUCUGUAGGAUGUAUGGUUUUAUUUACACAUAGAUACUACACGGAGAGGGAUACAGCUUUAAUAUCUCAGCAGAUCUUGCUUCUCUAUUAGUUACAGCUUUGAAUCCUGCACAGCACAGAUGAAGCAUGUCUUCUAGCCUUCUUCCAAUUUUCUUUCACACAACUCUGGCUGUUUUCUUUUACCUAGCCAUUAGGUGAGAUGGUGGAGGAAAGGCCCACCCAUUAACCUGGGGGGCAUCAUUAGGUAAUUUUCGCCUCCUCAGCUUGUGAUGCAAGAUGUGACAUGUCUGCAGAGGGUGGGAAUCACUAUGUACAGAUGAAAACCAACAAGAAGGAUGCAGCCCUGGAACGACAGCUUCACAAUGAGGCUGCUGAGUUCUCCCAAACCCUGCAUCAUCAACCGCUCUUAUUUCCCAGGGGAGAGAGAUAGUUCCAAAGUGUGGUGAAACCUCACAAAGGUCCUUUCCCUCAUUCCAUUCAACCUACAGUAAUUUCUCUUAUCAAUGGGCCAGAAAUCAGGAUCUCACUGGCUGAUCGCAAAACCCAAGCAGGUUUAUCUCCAGCACCUCAUGUUCAGCUUUCAUGGUUUUAUGGAAUGGCAUACUGCCAUCAUACUGCCAUACAAAUUCAGCUAUCAUGGGGAAUAGCCAUUAGUAGUCAUAAGAAUAUAAAAGAGUGCAUCUAGUCUAGCAUCCUUUUUCUCACAGUGGCCAAUUAGAUGACUCUAGGAAGCACACAAGCAGGUCAUGAGUGCAAUAGCUCAUUCUGUCCUGUGCCCUUUCCCAAGUCCUGUCUAGCAGUGAAGCACAGAAGUGGAGUUUUGAAAGGUGGAUGUUUUUGCAAGGAACAGAUAUAUGCAUAAACAUACCCUUAGCCAGCUGUUUUGGAGCAGUUACACCACUGACCUAUACAGUGCUGGAAUAUAUUGCUUUUGCUCAACUUCAACUUCCUGGCACUGUGUUGAAAAGAGCAGGCUUCAUUAGGGAUUCCAGGCAGACACAACAUUUCCUCCCUCCAGUUGACUUGCUGGCUCCUUUCCCCCUCUCCACCCACCCAUCCCACUUCUCAGUUGUGGUUCAGCAGCAUUGCACUUCCUCCACCAGUCACGUUGCUUUGCAGUCCAUCAUGCUGGUGUCUGUCAAAAAACUCCUAGCUAAUAUCUGCCGCUCCAAAUCCCCAGACUUGCACAGAAAGGGAAUGAGCACAAGAGAGGGGCAGAGGAAUAAACCGUGAAUGGAAGGUGGUUCAUUCAGGGUUAGGGCAUAAAUGUGACUGAUCCUUAUAUCCACCAAGAUGUUUAAGAAGCCUUUUUUGCAUCUGGCCCAAGAAUUCAUCUUCCAUUACUGUGUCCAUCCUAAUAUGUAUACAGUACAGAUGCCACAAAUAAUCUACAAUUUCCAGCUUCUAGGGCAAAACCAGCAUAUUUGUCAUUUCAGUUGGGUGUCUUCAACAUUCAUGGGGCUUAUCAGAAUAUUAUCAGUGGGUGAAGGGGGUGACUGGUGCAUAAUUAAGCCAAAUCAUGGUUGUGUGAUGUACAACAAUGAUCAGAUCUGUUUCGCAAAAACAAAAACAAAAGAUUAGCUCCUUAGACAGGUAGUGGCAGUCUGAGAUAUUACUGUCAGAUCUUCCAGAAAGUGGAGACAUUGAAUGAACAAACUGAUGAGAAAUUUAAAGGGGAUAACACUGUGUACCAAGUGUGGUUCAGAACUGUGGUGUAAUACAUGCAAUGGAAAUAAGUCUCAAUAAGCUCCAUGGGGUCUACUCCCAAGUAAGAGUAUGCUGCACUGAAGCCUCAGGGAGAGGCUUGUGAAUGGGGGAAAUAUUGUGCAAUUGAUCCAACAAUUGUUGAUGUUGAAGGGCGUGGCAAUCCCAAACCGGCAGCUGGUUUGAGAAUAUCAUUGUCGGAUCGGC
RNAcentral lists this long non-coding RNA (3247 nucleotides) under Podarcis lilfordi (Lilford's wall lizard). Lineage: Eukaryota; Metazoa; Chordata; Lepidosauria; Squamata; Lacertidae. The record is from RNAcentral.